GCUUACGGCCACACCGGCCUGAGUACGCCGGAUCUCGCCGAUUCUCGGAAGCUAAGCAGGGUCGGGCCUGGGUAGUACUUGGAUGGAGACCGCCUGGGAAUACCAGGUGCUGUAAGCU
RNAcentral lists this ribosomal RNA (118 nucleotides) under Oncorhynchus mykiss (rainbow trout). The record is from RNAcentral. Lineage: Eukaryota; Metazoa; Chordata; Actinopteri; Salmoniformes; Salmonidae.